CCGGCGCACGGGUGAGUAACACGUAUCCAACCUGCCGUCUACUCUUGGCCAGCCUUCUGAAAGGAAGAUUAAUCCAGGAUGGCAUCAUGGGUUCACAUGUCCGCAUGAUUAAAGGUAUUUUCCGGUAGACGAUGGGGAUGCGUUCCAUUAGAUAGUAGGCGGGGUAACGGCCCACCUAGUCAACGAUGGAUAGGGGUUCUGAGAGGAAGGUCCCCCACAUUGGAACUGAGACACGGUCCAA
RNAcentral lists this ribosomal RNA (241 nucleotides) under uncultured bacterium. RNAcentral describes it as "partial 16S ribosomal RNA". It matches the Rfam family "Bacterial small subunit ribosomal RNA", at positions 95 to 334 of the family's 1533-position model. The record is from RNAcentral.